CAGAAGGAUCCUCCUCGGAUCGUCACUGGUUGCACAACUGUUCCUGCAUGCGAAUCAGAUGCUGCGUGGAAACAUGGCUGGCAUGUAAAAUGGGUGUUAGUAAGGUGGUGAAACAAGCCUUUCUGCUUCUACAAAUGAGAAGCUUUGUGCAUUUUGGAUGAAGAGCCCCAACUCUUGUAGCCUGUCCUCAUAGCAGAGCUGCUCCAGCCUUCUGAUCAUCUUUGUAGCCUUCCUCUAGACUCACUCCAACAGUUCAAUGUCCUUCUUGUGUUGGGGGUUCCAGAACUGUACAGAGUGCUCCAGGUGGGGACUGAGGAGAGGAUAGUAAAGAGGGAGAAUCCCCUCCCUUGCUCUGCUGGAAUCUUGGCCUGAUCUCUACUAAUUGCAUGUUAGAUUUUGAGAUUAUUUUUCUUAACCAUUGUGUAUCCUAAUUUUGUUUCAGUGUUGGAAAGUGUUUGGUAAUUUGUAAGGGUAUGCUGUGUGAAACAAAUGUUCAAUAGAGUCUGUGUGCCUACAACUGUACUAAUAAAUCAGACAUUCAUCUGGCUGUUCUCUGGGUGCAAGGUCAGUAGGCAUGGAACAACUUCUAUGCCUACUAUCUGACCACUUUAAACUUUGAAAAAUAAAA
This is a long non-coding RNA of Pogoniulus pusillus (Red-fronted tinkerbird), 628 nucleotides long. RefSeq lists it as uncharacterized. NCBI's taxonomy places the organism in Eukaryota, Metazoa, Chordata, Aves, Piciformes, Lybiidae. The transcript has 3 exons. The record is from RefSeq and is a predicted model, not a curated record.